Molecule: long non-coding RNA, 1095 nt
Filed under: Callithrix jacchus (white-tufted-ear marmoset)
Lineage: Eukaryota; Metazoa; Chordata; Mammalia; Primates; Cebidae
Description: lncRNA (ENSCJAG00000075776.1)
Source: RNAcentral
AUGAUCCCUUUGCUGGGUCUAUGUUGUGGUAGAAAUUAUGAAUGGCCUGUUAGAGACAAGGAAAUGAGGCUGAGUGUGACAUCUCCCUCAGCAUCCUGCUGCUUCUUCCAGGAUACACACACACCCCAUACGCCUCACACACCACACACCCUACACACUCCCCAGCCUCCCCACACCACACAUCCCACACACCACACCCCACACACUACACACACAUACCACAAACACACCAUACAUCACAUCACACACACCAUCAUACAUCACAUCACACACACCACAUCACACACACAACGCCAUACACACACCACACACAACACACCACACACCACAUCACACACACACCACACACCCCACAUACGACACACACCACACACAUCACAUAUACCACACUUCACACCACAUAUGCCCCCCACACCACAUCACACACACACACCACACACCACACACACCACAUACGCCACAUACACCAUACACCACACACAUCACACAUCCCAGACACACCACUCAACACAACACACACACAACAUACACAGCACACCACACAUACACCACACACCCAACAUGCUGCAUCACAUACACAUCAUACACACCAAACACUACACAUGCAACACAUACCACACACACCACACACCAUACAGCCCAGACAUCACACCACACACACAACACACAACACACACACGACAUAUACACCAAACACCACACACACCACACCACACACACAACAUACCACACCACACACACCACACACCCCACAUGCCACAUACCCCACAUACUACACACACACACCCUAUACAUCACACCACACACACCACACACACACAACACACCUCACAUGCCACACCAUAUACACAUCAGACACACCACACCACACACACACCACAGACCCCACAUACCAUACAUAUCCUACAUACCAAACACACGCACCACACAAACACACCCUAUAGACCAAACACCACACACAACACACACAUGCCAUAUACAUCAACACCAUGCACACAACACACACCACAGACCCCACACAACACACACACCCCACAUACCACACACACACCACACAGCACACCACACAUAUCAUACACCACACACACACCAUGA